AUUGAACGCUGGCGGCAGGCCUAACACAUGCAAGUCGAGCGGAGCGGCGGACGGGUGAGUAAUGACUAGGAAUCUGCCUGGUAGUGGGGGAUAACGUCCGGAAACGGGCGCUAAUAACGAAUACUAUCAGAUGAGGCUAGGUCGGAUUAGCUCGUUGGUGGGGUAAAGGCCUAACAAGGCGACGGUCCGGAACUGGUCUGAGAGGAGGAUUAGGUCAACCGGGACUUGGAAACGGGUCCAACUUCGUCCGGAGGCAACAGGUGGGAAUAAUGGGCAAUGGGCGAAAGCCCUGUUCCGCCAUGGCCGGGUGUUUAAAGAGGUCUUCGGAUUGUAAAGCACUUUAAGUUGGGAGGCGUUACCAACAGAAUAAGCACCGGCUAACUUCGUGCCAGCAGCCGCGGUAAUAC
This 407-nucleotide ribosomal RNA is filed under the name uncultured bacterium. Its description in RNAcentral is "partial 16S ribosomal RNA". It matches the Rfam family "Bacterial small subunit ribosomal RNA", at positions 30 to 526 of the family's 1533-position model. The record is from RNAcentral.